UCGAUACCACAGAGCUAAGGAAUAAUGUCAAGAAAAAAACCAAAAUAACCACUUAUGUUAAACCGAAAGUCAUCAAAGUGAAAGAUGUCAGCCUACAGAAUAUCUGUGAUUCAAGAAAAUGGAAAAUGUGGGGAAAAUAGUCACCCUAACAUUUAUACCUCUGGGCCAUCUCUGUGGCCAUUUAGUGUAUGGCUCUGGAAUCUUGAAAAGAAUUAAACCAACCCACAGAAACCAAACUUUCUGUAUUAAGAAUCUGACUAACUCAAAGGCCCCAACUCUAAUUUCUCCAUGAUUAGGGAUGAAGUAUCCUAGAUGAUGUCAAUUCCAAAGAACUCAGUGUGUACAAUAACAUUAUAAUGAGUUUUUACUGAGAUCUGAAAUACUGAGAUGCAGUGAUUGACUUUAAUCACAAAUUUGCUUCAUAAAAAGCAGUAAAAAUCACCACAGAAUUAUAUUACUCCGUGUCAUUUUCGUAUAUGCAAUAU
Molecule: long non-coding RNA, 485 nt
Filed under: Bos taurus (domestic cattle)
Lineage: Eukaryota; Metazoa; Chordata; Mammalia; Artiodactyla; Bovidae
Description: long non-coding RNA NONBTAT020521
Source: RNAcentral